This 1859-nucleotide long non-coding RNA is filed under the name Sorghum bicolor (sorghum). Its description in RNAcentral is "long non-coding RNA (SBIC_LNC007952)". The record is from RNAcentral. Lineage: Eukaryota; Viridiplantae; Streptophyta; Magnoliopsida; Poales; Poaceae.
CAGGCUUUCAGCAACCAAACUACAACCAUAUCCGUUAACAACUUAGACUUUAGAUCAAGUUCUCUUCCCACAAGUUCAGAUUUAGAGCAAACUUUAAAUUAUAAUAGUUAUGUCUAAACUAGAGAGAAAACUCAGAUUUGAAAAUUAGGCAGAGCAACUAUUCAUCAUAUCCAUGCUAGAGUUUUAUUAUUAAGAUUCAGUUUAGCAUAGCCACUUUGUUUAUUUAUUAAGCACACUAAGCAAAAGAUAUAUAUAUAAGCACAAAAAUCUUUAUUUGUUUUUUUUAUAGUGAUGUAUAUUUUAAUAUAGUAUAAGUAUAUAGAUAGAUAGAUAGAAAUACUUAUCGGGAUAAAUGGGGGUGCUCUCCCCAAAGCUGAAUUUUGACGUAAUUUCUUUUGAUGUAGCUAGCAGGUGGCAGAGGUGUAUUUGAAAGUCGGCAGCACCCUGACAGCGAUUAGAAUGUCCUCCGUCUGCUAGUCUUUUUGAUCCUUAAAUUCUGUGGAGCUCAAAUAGAGAACAAAGCUUUGUGGAACUGAUUAGGUGUUAGCUUAAAUAUCUAGCAUUUAUCAUGUUGAGCCUCCUCAAUAAAUGAUACUCUCUAUUUUUAUAUUUUCAUUUUAUAAAGCAGAAAAAAAUAUUUAUUUUAUUUUUAUGCCACCAUAGUGAAUGUACUUAUGGGGUUUAUGCCACUCGUAUACUCACAUGGGGCUUACUGUUUUUUUAACAUUUUUAUUUUCUUUUUAGGAUAGUACGAACAUGAUUGACUAAGCAAACGAUUUGAAAUAAUUGAAAGGAAAAAAGAUAACUACCAAUUUUACCUCUUGUCAAGGCGUUCGGUGUUUUUAAGUCCUCCGAACGGGACUCUCCGUUUUCUCAGUCGUCCUAGAAUUCGUUGGAUGGCGGAGUCAGUACUUCCGGCGGUGCCUCUUCUUUAUGUAUAGUUAUCUUCUCUCUCCACACCUGACUCGGUGCUACGGUCUCCUCUGGAUAAUUCUGUUCAAGCUGUAUGUCUUCAGACCUUACCACUUCUCCUUCAUAGUCUGCCCAUCCGUCCUUGAUGAUUUAUCUCCUCUGGUUGCGGUUGCAUCGUCUUCUUCUUGUCCUGACCUGCUUAGAGUCUUCAGCGAUAUAAUUAGGGUCAGUGAAAUAGCGGCGUACCUUCUCUGAGGGGAAGUGCAAGUUAACUUCUCCGGUUCCAAUGUAGAUGAUUGCUUUAAAGGUGCUGAGGAAAGGUCUUCCAAGGAUGAUGGGUGGAUCGUACUUGUCUUCUCCCAUGUUAAUAACCUGAAAGUCUGUAUGGACAAAAUGAUCGUCUAUUUUGACAGGAACAUCAGUUACUAUACCUUCAACCUUUCAAAAUGUUUGAUCUACCAUCUGGAGCUAAAUGUAUGUCGGUUUUAAGGGCAUGGUUCCGAACAAGAGCCGAUAGGUGACUGCGGCCAUUAUGUUGACGCCCGAUCCGGUGUCGCAAAGUGUAACAUCCCUGAUGUUACGGUUACUAAAACUGGAUCAUGUCAUCAUGAGCAUUGCAUAGCAUAAUGAUUAAGCACCACUUGAUGCACCAACUUAAAACAAGUUUACUUUGGUUGCUUGUGCUUAGGGAACUAAAGUGUGUUUAUAUUGUGUAUUGAAGCUAGUGUGGUUGUGAAAUCCCUUGUGUUGAAGGUUUCCGAUAAAAUAGGGGGGAAACCCUGAUUUUUAAAACCCUAGAUUUGCCCCUUUUGUGUAACUUAAAAACUAUGCAAAAUUUGGGGAUGAGUUCAAAAGCAAAGUUGUAGAUCUUGUCAAGAUGUACAACUUUGGUGUUUUGAGUUUUUGAAGUUUCAAUACAAAAUUCAAAGUAAUUUUGAAAAUACAGA